AAACCAGCACCUCAAGUGGUCAGGAUGAUUAUUGGGCCUAAAGCAUCCGUAGCCGGCUCUGUAAGUUUUCGGUUAAAUCCAUAUGCUCAACAUAUGGGCUGCCGGGAAUACUGUGCACCUAGGGAGUGGGAGAGGUAGACGGUACUCGGUAGGAAGGGGUAAAAUCCUUUGAUCUAUUGAUGACCACCUGUGGCGAAGGCGGUCUACCAGAACACGUUCGACGGUGAGGGAUGAAAGCUGGGGGAGCAAACCGGAUUAGAAACCCGAGUAGUCC
This 274-nucleotide ribosomal RNA is filed under the name uncultured bacterium. Its description in RNAcentral is "partial 16S ribosomal RNA". It matches the Rfam family "Archaeal small subunit ribosomal RNA", at positions 473 to 747 of the family's 1478-position model. The record is from RNAcentral.